This 557-nucleotide long non-coding RNA is filed under the name Homo sapiens (human). RNAcentral's name for it is "non-protein coding PTCHD1-AS:1". The record is from RNAcentral. Lineage: Eukaryota; Metazoa; Chordata; Mammalia; Primates; Hominidae.
ACAACUGCAGCGAGAGAAGAGGCUGGCAGCAUGGGUGGCAGGAGGCUUGGCAGCCUCACAGGAUGCCUGCAAAUACCUUUCACUUAUGCAGUUUGGCAGUGCAGUGGUGCAUGGAGACAGCGUCUUGGGCCUGGCACCCACAGCCACUUAGGAAGUUGGAGUCCUGGAGAGGAGAACACAGAACGUGGACAACUAGCUGUCAAAUUGCAGUAAAAGUUGGUUCAGGAAAAGUGGAAGCUACCCAGAUGUCUACCAAUUGAGAUGAACCAUCCAAUCUCCUGCCUCGAGUAUUGAAGCCUGGCUACUGUGACUGUGGGGAAGGGAUUAAUGGUCUCAGCAUUCAAAGCUUCUAUUCUGGAAUAGAACAGCUAGCAUACUACCAAGACUUUUCAAGGAGCAAGAAUGGAGCUCCCUGGAGAACUGACUGAACAUGGCUUCAGAGGCAGUAUCCAUGUCACAUUUCAAAGGCCAGAUCUUUCCCAGGGCUUAAGCUGUUCCUUGGAUACUUUUGCUGAUGGUUUACACAUCUUCUUCCCACAUUAUAUUGUAACUUUCUU